UAAAAAUAAAUAAUAAAACUAAAUAAACUAAGCAGGUUACAGGUCUGUCCCUCAUCAUGUGAAGACAGAUAUAUUGUAUUGUAUUUCAGUGCAAUGUUCCCAGCUUCUUCACAAGGCAAAUAAUGAGCAUUGUCAUGUACUCCAUUGUUCCCUGAUAAAAGCUUUGCCACAUGACUUUGGACAUUGUUUUGAAGUUUGAUUUUAUGUCCAUAACUGUGACUAAACCUUGAGCAGAGAAACAACUGCUCCAGCUGCCUGAAAGCUGCCCGACUGCAUCUCGCUGUAGAGCAGGGCCUGAAGCAUGAAUGAAGAUUCUUUAUUCAGAAGCACCACUUCAGUUUGUCAGCUGCAGACAGGAUCACAGGGAAUUCAUUUUACUGAGAGACUAUACUGUAAAAAGAAAUCACUCACAGUUUGGCUGAUGUCAGUAAUCUUUUCCAGUUUGCUUUAAGUGCACAGAUUUCAAAUUGAGUUUAGCUAAGCAGAAGAAAUUUUCCUCAAAAUGUACAGUUGUAAGUUUGCACAACUCAUUAAAUGAAGUUCAUAAGAAACAAAACUGCCAACCUAUAACACUAACAUUCCUGCCUUUUCCAAAAAUGAAAGAAUUAUAAGUCACUAAUAGCAGCCUCACAGGCUAACUUCAUAUCUGCUCUUGCAUAAAAUGACCUCACAGGCACCAAACUGAAGAACCAAUGCAAAAAGAAAACAAAUAUAUGUGGAACAAUCAUCUUUUUUACCCUUAUUUCAUUCAAUGUAACAUCUUAAGUUGUUUUAUCAAAUGUUAGUUGUAAGCUUUCCAGAAGAAAGCAUCUGCAAUUGGCAAACAAUGGGAAAUGCCUGUGGGCACUUAUUUUUGUAGUUAUUUUGAUGUUAUACACCCCACCAACCAACCGGGAAAUUCUACUUUUGAAUUCUGCAGCAGAUUUAAACUCAGGGCCAUAUUUUCAUUUUCCUCUCUCAUAACAUCUCUGAUUCAGGUUAUCUCAGCCAAAUUUAUGAAGACACAAAUCAAAGAUGACUUUUUGCUAAUGAAGCAAACUCAGCGGAGCUGCCAUCACACCAACUAUUUAAAUUAAAACAGAAGUAGCAGCAGAUCAAUUAAACACUAAGAACAUCAGGGGUUGAUGCAAUUUGAUGCUUGUCCACAGAUUAGAUGCAGAGGCCCUUUUUGCUCGUAUCAAUUGCUUAUCACAGAAUCACAGCUCGGCUCAUAGAGUGUGAUGAAAUGAGGGAGACUUGUAACACAGGAAGUGAUCAUUUAUUUACAAAACAUAAUUAAAUGAAGAGAACAUGUUUGUCAGUGGGUCAUUAGAGUAAAGCACGCAUGGAAGUGUGGGAGUGUGCAGAGAGCAAAGGAAAUCCGAGAAAUCACGUUGCAGCCAAGCUGGUCCGAGCCAAAAUGCUGGUGUCGGCUCCUCAGCGAGCCCCUGCAGAACAACAACCCAGUGCCUAAGGGGUCAUCACAACUUUAUACAAAUUUGAAUUUAGUUGUGACAAUCCUGCAGUUGUAUGCAACAUGGGAAAGAUUCUUUAUUUAACAUCUCCACUUUGAAACGUAUUACUGUAAAACUGCUGCAUGACCUAGUUAAAUCAGAAGUCCCUUUUUAAAGACAAAACAGAGGCUUCUGGCACAACUUCACCUACUAUCCAAACUGCAUGGAGACGAACAAGGUCUGAAGAGGUCGAAGCUCCAAUAACACAUGUAGUAUAAAGAGUACUGUUCUUUAUACUACAAGUGUCGUUGGAGCUUUGACCUUUGACCUCAGAUGUUUAAGCUUUGUUGUGCAAAAUGAUGCAUGUGCAGAAUAUGACCCAGCAAUUCAUCUGAAAAGAGAAAGUUUCACUGUGCUCACCUUACAUUUAAGUUCAACAACUGGAUAGGAAAGAAGGUGGUCCAAUGUAAAAGUGCUGUGUGGAAACUUCUUUAAAAACACAUAAAAAUCACACUGUUCACUCAAUAUUACUCAAAGUAGAGUAUUUAUUUUAGCCUUAAGACAUGUCUGCACCCCAGAAUCAGCACUUAACUUAUUUUAAGCCUUACCUUAACCUUAAACAAUGUCUUUACCCUAAAAUCUAAUGAUUUACAAUAAUCGACUGGCUUUUUUUGUCUCCAAAAGGAAGCAGGGUCGCGUCAGUGUGACUGCAUAAACAAAAACCUGUUUGUAUAAACAGAUUUAUGUCCACACGACAUGUAAAAUGAGUCAGAACACACAGAAGCACAAACAUACUGUGUGUGGCAGUGGAUUGUUGGGAAAGAGUCCCUCCAGUGUGUGGCUGCAACAACAUGCGACAGCUGGAAACUCUGAUUUUGUUUUCGCUCUACGGAUGAAUUUGUUGGGAGUAUUAAAGGUUUGUGAUCUUCCCCUCACCUCACCAAUGAAAUGAAUUAAAGCUGCAGCACAUAGCCUCUCUGGAUGUUGCUCUGAUGUAAGUUCUUUUUCGAUUUGAUGCUCAUCAACCGUUACCUGUAGCGCUUGUAAUGCUCAAGUCAGUGCAGCUGAGCCUCUGAACUGGCUCAGUGCUGCACUGCGGGCGACAGUGCCUCCAUUUAGGCUCGAGAGAGGGAAGGAUGCACAAUGGAGAGGAUAGAGGAGAGAAUGAAGGGACACUUUGUGCUCGGUGAAGAGGACGAUCUCCUCUAAGACUCACUAACCCAAGAUCCGGAGUCUCCCAAAGCUUGGGCACUUCCGCUCUUUCGGAAAAGACGUGUCUCCACUAGCGAUAGCUGUCUUGUGUGAAUGCUUUUGAAAUGGCAUCUCAGGAGAGACAGAGAAGAGGGACACAUCCGAUUUGCCACUUUAAGUCUUACAUCUGCAGCUUACUCUAUUGUAAACUCUGUUGUCUUCAAUGCAGUACUGCUUCAUUGUCAUACAUGCUCUUAGAGAAAGUAACUUUUCACAUCGUGUGUCUGCUUCCUUAAAAAUAAACUGCAGGAGAGUAUGUAAAGCAGACAGGCCUCAGGUGGAGCUUGCAGGUCUUGCACAGGGCACUGAAUGCAGAGAGAUGCUUUUGAAUGACAGGAUAUCCCAGUGCAGGAACUCCUACCUUGCCUACCCUCCUUUUAGUCUUCCUGCUCGGGCUGCUGACUCCUAUCCUGUCCAUGGGGUCUGUUAAUCUCUCGGGACAGUACAGGGAGGAGAUCUGGAAUACCGGGUGGCAGGAAGCUGAGGGUCUUCCAAGACUCUCCAGGGGUCAGCAUCUCAUCCUACCACACUAUUGCAAGACCAGGCUCAAGGUCUGGUUUACUGGCGGGGCCGCUAAGUUGCUAUUGUUAGGCUCAAGGAGAAAUGUGUGCACACUUCCUUUGACUAUUUUCUGCUUGACCUGAAUUAUUGGGUUCUGAUUUAUGACACUUGGACACGUGUUUGUAGCACACAGAGUGCCUGAUUUUUAAAGCAACACAAUAGCUGUUUGUCACCCAUUUAUAUGACAUUGAAUCAGUUGAAAAUCUUCUUACUUUGCCAUUAAGGAAGCAAUUUGAAUUUACUUGAUAAAGAGUUGACCCAGUCUGCUGAUGGACUGGGGUUGCAUAUUUCCACAGGGUUGUGUUUUCUCUGCAUUUAAAGGUCACCUCUAAGGUCAAUGAUGGUAGGAAAGAAAGAAAGGAAGAAAUAAAAAACUGUGUAGUGAAUAUUUGAACUAUCGUGAAAAAAAAGGUUUAUAAUAAUUAUAAACUGUACACGUGGACACUAUAUAAGAUACACCUUGCUCAUAACAGCUUGGAGCCCUUUUUAGUAACAAAACUGCUUUAAUUCUUCAUGGCACAGAUUCGACAAGGUGAUGGAAACAUACCCUGAUAGAUUUUGGUCCACACUGACGUGACAGGAUCACACAGUUCCUGCAAAUUUGUCUGCUGCACAUCCAUGAUGGGAAUCUCCAGUUCAAUAUCAUUCCAGAGGUUCUCAUUUGGAUUGAGAUCUGGUGACUGUGGAGGACAUGUGGAACAUCUCAGUCUUCAGUCGGCUCCGUCUCUCAGCACAGUGGCAGCAGUGGCGCCAGGGCACAGACCUUUAGACACAACUACUGUAUCACUCAACAAUCUUCCUCCACUGAUCCCUUCCUCCACCACUCCACCAUGCUUCGCCUGUCCUCUCCUUAGUCAUCCCCCUCUUCCUCUGAUUAUGAAGAUGAGGAUAUAUUCCCAUCUCCCGUCCUUUCACCAACAUCAUUUACUGUUACAGAGCUGUUUGUUGUUGCCAAUUAUUGUGAUGUGUUGUUAGCUUGCGGUACUGGGUAAUCACAGUGAUGUGACUGCAUUUGUGUUGCCUCCACAUUGUGAGCCUUGAUUGUCCAUCCAGCUCUUUGUUUUUUUUUGGUCUGAGUUCAUUGGGCAGAACAGGAAAACAGCAAAGCAAAGUGAAUCAAAGCAAGCUUCCUUCUUGUACUCUGGUGGGACAGAAGUCUGUUUUUAGCUGUUUGUUGACAGAAAUGUGAACAUAUAGUUGAAUAAAACACCAGACCUCGAUAAUCAGCCCGCCACCCACUCACUUUUCCCAAAAAUAAAACCCUUGUUAUGCUUUGUAGAGGAGUUUUGGGAAGAUGAAAUUUUUUUUUAAAAAAAGUCUCCUUUAAAACACAUCAAGACAGAAUCUGUGAAUCUUGUGUGAUGCAUGCAUUUCUUGAGACCACAAAAAAAGUAUUUUUUCCUUCUAUUUUUAUUCUUGAAGGUUGGAUACUGAGUAACUCCAUGCAGACCAUCGACUGCUUCACUUAAUCACAUCAGAGCCUGUUUCCACAAUGUCCAGCUCUUGUUUUUCCUCUUUAAUUGGCCACCUGUGUGUGCCGUACUGUUUGUUGUUGUAGUCCACUCUCAUGUGUGGCCUUGUGCUGUAAACCACAUGCCAUGAAUGCACAAAGAUGCUCCUUGUGUUUUGCCUUUUCUUCAAGCACUUUAAGGCAUUUCACUCUUAAUCCCAGCCCUUCGCUCAGCUGUCAUCCGCCACAAAGACAUAAACACACGCUACGGUGGAAGUGUGUCUGCAGGGCUGCAGAACGCCUCUCUGAUCUUUUAUCGCAGCCUCGUGUGUUUGCGUGUUUAUGGACCUCUUUCAGUGAUACUUAUAGCGCUAGAGGAGCAUGAGGUGUGUGUUCUCUCUGUUUAGGUGUGUGUGAGAGUUGGUGGGGGUCUGACAGUUGUUUGAUGUGUGUGUUAAGUUGUCAGACCACAUGCACACCAGCACCCCCGCCUUCCCCCACUUUACCAAGGCAACUGUCUCCGCAAAGGCUUUAUUUGUGUUCUGACGAACUCUGAGUCAGACUCGUGUGGAAAAGUCAUGAUAUUGCCCGUCUGAUACAAACACCCGAGAGCAGUUUCACAGCCCUGAUGAUAAAAUCACCCCUGAGGAGAUACUGAUCAGCACCGGUGAUAUUAGCAAUUCAAUUACAGCCUGAUAUCCACUUUUAAUUAUGAGAAACUCAUUAAAGCUAACACUUGAGUCGCUCCUGGAGAGCGAGACCAUUUGGGUGUCAUUCUGGUCUUUUAAGCAGAGACGCUGGGGUGAUUGACACCAAGUUGUUACCAACAGGGUGGAAGUUUAUGCAUAAAUAUUUCCGCAGAGACUACAGAGCUUUACAGCUUUACAUUUGUUUGGCUGAACCAGUGUUGAGCUCAUCUUUUAAGAAGUGAUUACCUUGCAUAGACUUGUGGCAGCUGGUGCCCAGUCGCCCUGCCAGACUGUGGGUGGGGAAAAAAGUUUUCCUCUGUAGCUUUUCUCUUGCAGAUGAUACAGAGUAAAACGAUCAAACUUUUUUAUUUUGGAUGUCUCACUUGAGUCUUGCAUAGCUCUACUUUAAGUUAUUGUUAUAUUUUUAUUUUUUUAAAAAGAGCAGCAGUUAACAUUGCUGCUUCAAAGCAGAAGGAUCCUGGUUUUGAACAUCCUGGUUGUUCCCCCAACUCUCUCUGUGACAUUUGCAUGUUCUCCCUUGAGGUAGUCAAGCUUCCCCCCACAGCAGAAAAACAUGCAUGUUGAGGUAUUCUUGUGAUUGUAAAUUUGCCAUAGGUGUGGAUGUUAGGGAGUGUGGUUGUCUCUCUAUGUUAUCCCUGCAAUGAACUGAUGGCCUCUCCAGUGUGUAACUUAGACUCCAGCCAUGCCUCCCGAAUUUAAUAACUGGGUGAUGGAUUAUUAUUUUUAUUAUUAACAGAAACAAAUCAUUGUUGAUUCCAGACUCUUUGUGGGAUUUGUUGACAAAAUGCAAACUGUAUUACUGGAACAGAUGAUAUCCUCAGUGACACAUUUGGUCCAGAUACAGCAGGAUGGCACAGAAGCUAUGAGUACUGAAUACAUAGAUUUUCUUAUCUUCUAUUUGUCCUCCUCACAUUUAGCACUGUUUCAGUUGUUUUUCGUUUUCACUGGCAUAAUGAAUACAUGACGUAUAGUACUUGGAGAACAAUUAUAUUAAAUAAAAGGUCACAAAAGAUCAGGGAAUAGCCAUGCUGCAGCACCCGAGCUGUGUAAAUACUAAUACUGCGCUUUCUUGUUUCCUUGCAGCACACGUGCAAGAGGUCAGAGGAUUUUUUUCUUUGUGCACUUUUGACCUGCGUGUCAUUCAGAUAUCAAGAAGAACAGCAGCUAAUCUCAACAACAGGUCAACCCACUGCAGACUUGUUAGUGUUUUCUGUUUGUAGGUCAUCUGGCCGGGACAGUCUGUUGAUAGAAAUCUUCCUGCUUUCCAAAGUGUUGCUGUCUUCUGAGCCAAGAUAGAAAUAUUUAUCAAAUACAAAUCCGAGGACAAGACAGGAAAAUCCUGAAUAUUUUUUUGUUUUUAUAAAUAACUCAGACUUGCACUCUGGAUCGCUCAUGAAAAUAGAAUAUUUACAGAGAGCGUCUCCUCGUCUCUCAAGCUGAGAAGAGUUUUGAUCAUAAACAAAACGUGAUGAGCUAAUUGGUGAUUUAUAGAAGCACUGUUGCAAGGCAACAGCGCCUUGUUUACAGCCACAGAGCGCUGUAUCAGUGCAUUUUCAUUUCCUGUCUGCCGCAGGAUAAUGACCUAUAAGGAGGUUUGUUUGUUUGGUGAUGGUAGGAAACAGAUACAGCAUAUAAUAGUGAGAGAUGUACAGUAACUCGUACCGCCCUUGUUUACAAAGACACAGAAGUAUGAGAUGUGACUGUGUCGUCUUCAGGUCACAGCCUUGGUGAGCAAACCUGCUUUGCUCAGAGUAUUUAUUUACUUAUUUAAUAGAGCUGACUCUGUUUAGAAGACGUGAACGUGACGAUGUUUACUACUCACUAUUGGUUUGAGUGUUGAAGUCUUUUGAAGCUGCAGACUGGAGUUGUAUUAUGCAUGCUGCAGGAUUUAGCCUGCUCAGUUUGUUGCUAAUAUGGGGGGAUGGGUGAGGACAUGGGGACGGGACCCUCUGAAAGUUUUUAAGGCAUCAGGUAGAUAGGAAUUACAGAUUACAACUGCAGUUACUGACUAUGCAAAGCUCAAAUAGUAACAUUACAGGAGUGAUGAAAGAUGAAGUAACUGAUAUUAGUUAGCAGCAGGUGCAAGCUGUAUGUAUACAACAAGAAGGUCUAUAUAAAACUGAACAAAUAACUGAAAAACACUAGCUGUAGUCCAUCUAUGAGGUGCAAUGUACAGAAGUUUUCAUGCAAUCAUCAUCGGCACGAAUGUUAAUGUGAAUGGUAAUUUUAGGGUUUUUAUUAAUUUCUUGUAACUGUUCUUUUUUCCAGAGUAGAAUGAUUCUAUAGCACACAUCUUUCAUCUGCACAGGCUCAAAUAUAUACAUACGGCCCCAGAGCAUGAUGGUACCACCACCAUGCUUAACAGUUGCUCGACUGCUCUUAAGUUUGAACGCCUCACCUUUACUCCUAUAAAGAUACCUCUUGUCAUUGUGAACAAAAACUCUUUGUCUCACCAAUCUUACUUAAAGUACUUAAAAGAGUACUUAAAAAUUCUCAAAGGUGUUUCUUAUCAACAUCACCCAAGAUUGCUCAUUUUGGCUCUACCAUUGUGGUCUCAGUGAAUUAAAACAAUAGCUAAUGGGCUUGCCUUCUGGACAUAGGCUGUAUUAGACAUGUCAAAUACCUUUAAACCACCCGUCUUCCACUUGUGUUGGGCAGAAAAAGAAAAACAUAGUGGAUUUACUGAUAGCAGACUAAGUGGCAACUGAAUCUGUAGCUGUGUCAUUAACUGGCAGUUAUGCAUGUGAAUGUUAUGUGUUGAGGGAGAGGAUGCAUGCAGAUUUGACGAUCCAAACCGUUUGGGAACAAUAGAGAUAGGACCAGUGGUUCCCUGCAGUAAAACCCACAGUUACACAUCCUUCUUCCUGCAGGGAUCAUCCAGCAGGCAGGAAAACUUUAUCGUCUGCAUUCCUUCGCCUUAUUUUUCUUCUUCUUCUUCUCGAUGGAAGACCAAUGUUAUCCACAAGAUCACUAGGUAGCCUAACAACUGUGUGAACUAUUCCAAAUGAACCUCAAGGGUUUAGUAAGUGUUUGAGUCUUUUAUCCCUCACAUGUAACAUGAACAUUUUUAUAGAUUUUUAUGGCUGUCCAAACUUCACAGAGUUUUUGAAACACAAGCCUCUGGUUUAGUUUCAAGGUUGAGAAAUGGACACACACACACAUCCACAAAAUCCUGCAUGUUCAUAAAAUUACACCCAUGCUGCACUGGAUGCAAUACAAUAAGCUAUUGUAACCUCAAACCAGAGGUCUUGAUGGACAUGUGCUUUUGCCAUUAGUUCAAAAUUAUAAAAGGCUAUGAGGUCACUUGCUGGCGUGUGUUAACACGUACAUCCCUUGCUCUCUCUCUCUCUCUCUCGGUCUCUCGAGUGGACACACUUAUACUCACACAAAGCAAAUAUUAAGACAAGAAUAUAGGCUCUCUUAGUGCCUGUUAUUAGUUUUUUUUUUUUACUGUUAUUGAGAAUUUCAGUAUUUGAAGGAUGCUCCCAUUAGUUCCCUACCACUGUAUCCUAUGUGCACUAUGCACUUACUUGUGUAGCAUGAAUUUCUACAGAUUAGUGUGGCCCCAAAACAUUGCGAGAGGAAUGAUAAUCACAGCAUUUAACUGUCUGACACUUUUAUACACAUAAAAUGAAAAUGUAAACUCAAUGCUCCUUCGCUAACUACUGGUUGAUGAUGUAUCCUCCUCUUAUGCUGUGGUCAGAUUGUCCACUUGUUCACUCACUCAUCCACUAGUGUUUGCUACAUAGUGGGGAACACGUGCAGACAGCUGUUUAUAGAUUUCAGACCCUACUUGGACGUACUAAAGUUGCAUAAUUAUCCACCUGAUAUUUCUAAUUAUUUCUGUUUCUGAAACACUGACAGACGAUCUGCACCACAUUUGAAGCUACAGACGCCUGAAGAUUAUUUUUGAAAACGUACAUGUUGUAAGCGACUUAUAUCUCUCCACAUUUAUAUAAAAAUAAUAACAUAUAUAUGUGCACAGACGCUUGUUACAAUAUAAUUGAAAAUAAAGAUGGUAACUGCUUGGGGUUGCUACUUUUUUUAGGCAAUGUCUUACAUAUUACUUGUCAUUUUAAAAAAGUGUGUUACGUAAAGCAUUACAUUACUUAUUAGCUUAUUAGCUUCCUUUAGUACAGUACUGUGCAAAACUCUUGAUGAUGUGCUUUUGUGACAGCCUGUGAGUGCAGAAAGUAGUGAACUUAAAAUAAAAAAGAACAAAGAAAUCCUCUGAAACUGGUCAAGUACAAGGACUGGACUGAAAAUGGGUGAAAAUGCAACCAAUGUCCAACGGAAAACACAUCACAUAAUUAAGAGUUAACAGUAUAAAUGUUGGGCUACAGUCCCUCAUACUGGCCACAAUCUCUGUGAGGACACAUAGAACACCUAUUAUUUGAUUUUUAAGGAUUAACUCAAAGCUGUUUUAAAGUUUUAAAACAACCCAAAGAACACUUCACAGAGAGUGCUGUAGCCGCUGUAGCUGCUGCUCUACUACAGAAGAAGGUACUAAUAGAAAUGAAGGGUUCAACCGCACAAGUCUGACUCCUUGGCUGUUUAACGUAACUCUGGGUUAGCUAGGGUUGUUAGCUUUGUAUUAGCAUGCUGUUUUUGUAGAAGCUUGUACUGCUGUGUUACUUUCUGGGAGGUCGCUAAUUGCAUAUAAAAACUGUGUACAAGUACAGCUACAACAAGUAUACUGCACUGAAGCUGAGCCAGAAUACUGCUUUGUGUCUAAAAAUAAGAUCCAUCUAUUCAUGCAGUUAUUUAAAAAUAUUAUAACUGCUUAUCCA
Long non-coding RNA from Oreochromis niloticus (Nile tilapia), 10195 nucleotides. RefSeq lists it as uncharacterized. The record is from RefSeq and is a predicted model, not a curated record. Lineage: Eukaryota; Metazoa; Chordata; Actinopteri; Cichliformes; Cichlidae. The transcript is spliced from 2 exons.